This 87-nucleotide transfer RNA is filed under the name Saprospiraceae bacterium. RNAcentral describes it as "tRNA-Leu". It matches the Rfam family "tRNA". Rfam says of the family: Transfer RNA (tRNA) molecules are approximately 80 nucleotides in length. Their secondary structure includes four short double-helical elements and three loops (D, anti-codon, and T loops). Further hydrogen bonds mediate the characteristic L-shaped molecular structure. tRNAs have two regions of fundamental functional importance: the anti-codon, which is responsible for specific mRNA codon recognition, and the 3' end, to which the tRNAs corresponding amino acid is attached (by aminoacyl-tRNA synthetases). tRNAs cope with the degeneracy of the genetic code in two manners: having more than one tRNA (with a specific anti-codon) for a particular amino acid; and 'wobble' base-pairing, i.e. permitting non-standard base-pairing at the 3rd anti-codon position. The record is from RNAcentral. Lineage: Bacteria; Pseudomonadati; Bacteroidota; Saprospiria; Saprospirales; Saprospiraceae.
GCCCAGGUGGCGGAAUUGGUAGACGCGCUAGCUUGAGGGGCUAGUGUCCUUAUGGUCGUGCAGGUUCGAGUCCUGUUCUGGGCACCA